AACGCACGAGACCUGCGGACCUGCGGAGGGAUCAUUAAUGAGUUGCAAAACUCCCUAAACCAUUGUGAACCUACCUGUACCGUUCCUUCGGCGGGCGGCGUCAAGCCCUAACCCGUCUCCCUUUACGGGGGAUGGACCCGCCGGAGGCUUCUAAACUCUUAACUUUUGUUGGCAUCUCUGAGUAAAUCAAAAUAAGUCAAAACUUUCAACAAUGGAUCUCU
This 221-nucleotide unclassified non-coding RNA is filed under the name soil metagenome. RNAcentral describes it as "partial contains 5.8S ribosomal RNA, internal transcribed spacer 2, and large subunit ribosomal RNA". The record is from RNAcentral.